This 468-nucleotide ribosomal RNA is filed under the name uncultured bacterium. Its description in RNAcentral is "partial 16S ribosomal RNA". It matches the Rfam family "Bacterial small subunit ribosomal RNA", at positions 28 to 507 of the family's 1533-position model. The record is from RNAcentral.
GACGAACGCUGGCGGCGUGCUUAACACAUGCAAGUAGAACGGAAAGGCCCUGCUUUUGUUGGGUGCACGAGUGGCGAACGGGUGCGUAAGACGGGAGUACCCUUCCCUUGCCUUUCGGAUAACUUCAGGAAACUGGGGCUAAUACCGGAUAGGAGCUCCUGCUGCAUGGUGGGGGUUGGAAAGUUUCGGCGGUUGGGGAUGGACUCGCGGCUUAUCAGCUUGUUGGUGGGGUAGUGGCUUACCAAGGUAUUGACGGAUAGCCGGCCUGAGAGGGUGACCGGCCACAUUGGGACUGAGAUACGGGCCAGAGUCCUACGGGAGGCAGCAGUGGGGAAUAUUGCGCAAUGGGCGGAAGCCUGAUGCAGCAACGCCGCGUGCGGGAUGACGGCCUUCGGGUUGUAAACCGCUUGCGCCUGUAACGAAGCGUGAGUGACGGUAAUGGGUAAAGAAGCACCGGCUAACUACGUG